AGAUUGAACGCUGGCGGCAUGCCUUACACAUGCAAGUCGAACGGCAGCACGGGAGCAAUCCUGGUGGCGAGUGGCGAACGGGUGAGUAAUAUAUCGGAACGUGCCCAGUCGUGGGGGAUAACGCAGCGAAAGCUGUGCUAAUACCGCAUACGAUCUAUGGAUGAAAGCGGGGGAUCGCAAGACCUCGCGCGAUUGGAGCGGCCGAUAUCAGAUUAGCUAGUUGUGGGGUAAAAGCCUACCAAGGCGACGAUCUGUAGCUGGUCUGAGAGGACGACCAGCCACACUGGAACUGAGACACGGUCCAGACUCCGUACGGGAGCAGCAGUGGGGAAUUUGGACAAU
This 342-nucleotide ribosomal RNA is filed under the name uncultured soil bacterium. RNAcentral describes it as "bacterial SSU rRNA". It matches the Rfam family "Bacterial small subunit ribosomal RNA", at positions 26 to 372 of the family's 1533-position model. The record is from RNAcentral.